Agrilus planipennis (emerald ash borer) is the source of this 89-nucleotide non-coding RNA. The record is from Rfam. NCBI's taxonomy places the organism in Eukaryota, Metazoa, Arthropoda, Insecta, Coleoptera, Buprestidae.
GGUUUUAGUCGGUAGGUCCGAGGAUAUAUCCCUCGGGAAUCCGACACUACCCAGUCGUACGGAUGGCUGGGUGUCUUUUGAAGAUUUCC